RNAcentral lists this ribosomal RNA (484 nucleotides) under uncultured bacterium. Its description in RNAcentral is "partial 16S ribosomal RNA". It matches the Rfam family "Bacterial small subunit ribosomal RNA", at positions 29 to 507 of the family's 1533-position model. The record is from RNAcentral.
AUUGAACGCUGGCGGCAUGCUUUACACAUGCAAGUCGAACGGCAGCGCGGGCUUCUGCCUGGCGGCGCGUGGCGAACGGGUGAGUAAUGCAUCGGAACGUGCCCAGUCGUUGGGGAUAGCCCGGCGAAAGCCGGAUUAAUACCGCAUACGACCUGAGGUUGAAAGCGGGGGACCGAAAGGCCUCGCGCUAUUGGCGCGGCCGGAGUCGGAUUAGCUAGUUGGUGGGGUAAAGGCUUACCAAGGCGACGAUCCGUAGCUGAUCUGAGAGGACGACCGGCCACACUGGAACUGAGACACGGCCCAGACUCCUACGGGAGGCAGCAGUAGGGAAUCUUGAGCAAUGGGCGGAAGCCUGAAGGAGCAAUGCCGCGUGAGUGAAGAAGGUCUUCGGAUAGUAAAACGCUGUUAUUAGGGAAGAACAAAUGUGGAAGUAACUCUGCACGUCUUGACGGUACCUAAUCAGAAAGCAACGGCUAACUACGUG